This 582-nucleotide long non-coding RNA is filed under the name Bos indicus x Bos taurus (hybrid cattle). RNAcentral's name for it is "lncRNA (ENSBIXG00005004000.1)". The record is from RNAcentral. Lineage: Eukaryota; Metazoa; Chordata; Mammalia; Artiodactyla; Bovidae.
AGAGGGAGGAAAACAGAGAAAAUCACAACACAGUAAAGGUUUGUUAUACUUUGAUUUUGGUUAAGAACUCUGGAGUUCAAAAGGACUUGGACUUCCAAUUCUGACUUUUCUGGCUGUGUGACAUCGGGGAACUCAUUAAGCUCCCCAUGACUCAGUGUUCUCAUCUAGACAAUGGGUCUAUUAGCAGCAUCCAUUUCAUUUUGGUGUUGUGAACAUUCAGUGAAGUCUUACAUGUAAAGCAUUUAGUGUAACAAUUAACACAUGCAAGUCCAUGCUGUACUUAUGGUGCUGGUUGGUACUGCAUCUAUAUGUUACCUCUUCUAGGACUUGAACUGUGAAGAACAAUGAGACAUCACACCACUGAUGGUGGGAAGCAAGAUCAUCUUUAGUGAAGAUACAGUGUUAUAGACCUGGAAGAAACCUCCAUCCUCAAAGACUUGGAAAAGGCUGUCCUGGAGCCUGCGUGGAGGUUACAAAAACCAUCCCUCUGGUGGUGGCCUGAGCAGAUGACUUCAACCCCAAUGUUGCCCUGAACGUUGCAUUCAAGAUUUGAGAAGAUUAGGACUGCUAAGGUAUGGACUU